Molecule: ribosomal RNA, 1050 nt
Filed under: Bacillus altitudinis
Lineage: Bacteria; Bacillati; Bacillota; Bacilli; Caryophanales; Bacillaceae
Description: bacterial SSU rRNA
Rfam family: Bacterial small subunit ribosomal RNA
Source: RNAcentral
GAAGGGAGCUUGCUCCCGGAUGUUAGCGGCGGACGGGUGAGUAACACGUGGGUAACCUGCCUGUAAGACUGGGAUAACUCCGGGAAACCGGAGCUAAUACCGGAUAGUUCCUUGAACCGCAUGGUUCAAGGAUGAAAGACGGUUUCGGCUGUCACUUACAGAUGGACCCGCGGCGCAUUAGCUAGUUGGUGAGGUAACGGCUCACCAAGGCGACGAUGCGUAGCCGACCUGAGAGGGUGAUCGGCCACACUGGGACUGAGACACGGCCCAGACUCCUACGGGAGGCAGCAGUAGGGAAUCUUCCGCAAUGGACGAAAGUCUGACGGAGCAACGCCGCGUGAGUGAUGAAGGUUUUCGGAUCGUAAAGCUCUGUUGUUAGGGAAGAACAAGUGCAAGAGUAACUGCUUGCACCUUGACGGUACCUAACCAGAAAGCCACGGCUAACUACGUGCCAGCAGCCGCGGUAAUACGUAGGUGGCAAGCGUUGUCCGGAAUUAUUGGGCGUAAAGGGCUCGCAGGCGGUUUCUUAAGUCUGAUGUGAAAGCCCCCGGCUCAACCGGGGAGGGUCAUUGGAAACUGGGAAACUUGAGUGCAGAAGAGGAGAGUGGAAUUCCACGUGUAGCGGUGAAAUGCGUAGAGAUGUGGAGGAACACCAGUGGCGAAGGCGACUCUCGUCUGUAACUGACGCUGAGGAGCGAAAGCGUGGGGAGCGAACAGGAUUAGAUACCCUGGUAGUCCACGCCGUAAACGAUGAGUGCUAAGUGUUAGGGGGUUUCCGCCCCUUAGUGCUGCAGCUAACGCAUUAAGCACUCCGCCUGGGGAGUACGGUCGCAAGACUGAAACUCAAAGGAAUUGACGGGGGCCCGCACAAGCGGUGGAGCAUGUGGUUUAAUUCGAAGCAACGCGAAGAACCUUACCAGGUCUUGACAUCCUUUGACAACCCUAGAGAUAGGGCUUUCCCUUCGGGGACAGAGUGACAGGUGGUGCAUGGUUGUCGUCAGCUCGUGUCGUGAGAUGUUGGGUUAAGUCCCGCAACGAGCGCAACCCUUG